GGGCUUGGGAACGAAUAUAUGCAUACAUGUACAGUGUCCAAUAGUGUGUUUCUUCGACUUUUGGUUCCUCGUCCCUUUAUUAGUUUCCUGUGCUGUGUGCCUGUUGGGUCCACCCUCUUUCUCUCUCACUCACUCGAGGAAAGGGAUCACACAUGACAUCCUUCUAAAUCCCCUUAGGCUCUAGCAAGCAGCUAGAGAGAGAUCGAGAGAGAGGGAGAGCUAGAUAGCAACUCGAUCUUGGCUCCUCUUGCUCCCUUGAUAAAAAGGACGUGCUCCUCUCCACUGUCCAUGAUCACUCUGGGCCCUUGAAAAUUGCCCCUCCAACGGCAGAUCCCUAUACACCUCUCCACCCCUAGCUAGCUUGCUCUCCCUCUCCCUUAUAUCCAUCCUGAUCUCUUCCAUGGCUGCUCACAGUACCUCCGUGCUACCUUGCUAGAUCUCUUUCUCCCUCUUUCCUCCUCCCUCACAUGUCUACCAUCUACAUGAGCCAGCUAUCCACUCUUCCCCUAAUGGAGGGAGAUCAGGAUCAAGGGCACUUUCAGGCCUUCCAUCUACCAAAGGACCCUCCCAUCUUGUUCCCUUUCAUGAUCGACAACCCUGUGGAACAUCAAGGGCAAGGCUAUGGAGACCAGCACUUGACGCAGCAAUUUUUUGGUGAAUCUAGUCAGCAGUUCAACGAUCACAUGAUGAUGGCUGGAGGAUCGGACGUUUUUGGCACUCCUUCGCCGUUCCAACCUACCAUCCAAAGCAUCGGCAGUGACAUGAUCCAGCGAUCCUCGUACAAUAAUCCCUAUGAUAUCAAGAGCAAGCAGGCCGUCAGUGGAUUGACCAGCGAGUGGGCAUCCACCACGCCGCCGGUGAAGAUGAGGAUCGUGAGGAAGGCAGCGACGAGUGAUCCUGAGGGCGGGGCGGCGAGAAAGCCAAGGAGAAGGGCACAAGCAAACCAAGCUGAAGAGAGCCAGCAGCAGCAGCAUGCUAUGGGUGUUAUCAGAGUGUGCUCAGACUGUAAUACCACCAAGACCCCCUUGUGGAGGAGUGGUCCCUGUGGCCCCAAGUCUCUUUGCAACGCAUGCGGCAUAAGGCAAAGGAAGGCGCGGCGGGCGAUGGCUGCGGCGGCGGUCACUGCUGCAAACGGUCGGGUGACAACGGCUGCUUCUAAUGGUGGGGCGGUGGCUAUGGUACUGGGCACACAGGCGAGCAACGCAUACCAAGCGGCGAAGCCAGCGAAGAAGGAGAAGAGGGCUGCGGACGUCGACAGGUCAUUGCCGUUCAAAAAGCGGUGCAAGAUGGUCGAUCAUGCUGCCAUAACCAUCACCAGCGAGUCCGUGGCCAGCAUCGCCGCUCCAAAGGAGGAUCAACAUCAUGCCGGCGAGGAGGGCGUCGCGGUGGCGGAGAGACCGAGCAAAGCUGGGCCUCCAGCGGCGCACUUUCACGGCUUCCCACGUGACGAGAUCACCGACGCCGCCAUGCUGCUCAUGACACUAUCCUGCGGUCUCGUCCGCGGCUAGUAGCCAUUGCUGAGUGCAACUUAAUUGCAACUCAUGAGUAUUAAUUAGCCUUGUUAUAUUUCCGUAUGUCAAGUUGGUUUGUGUUUUCUUUUUGUGUGUGGUUUUGAGGAGAUCGUUCGGAACGAAGAAAAAGGGAGAGAGUAGUGAUCACAUGUCUAGGGUAAUAAGCGAAGAAGCUCGAUAGCUAGUAAGCAGUAACAACCCAGAUUUGCCAUAUAUGGAUUUGUACUCGUAUUGGAACUGGUAUAUGGAGAGGAUCGAUCGUGCUGGAGAAAUUACUGCGCAUCGAUUGGUUAUUCUUCACGAAUACUGACUUGUUGUUACUACUGUUGCAUAUGUCAGCUUGUGUGUGCUGAUCUACCUUUUGUCAGGAGUAUUUUUUUAUGGAAUGGCCUGGUAUAACUCUCAAUCAAAAAGGGGAAGGAUUUCUCGCGCUCACAGCACGCCACCUCAACAACUGCCCAUGUGGGACCAGGUCAUCACGUCUGCCCGAUUGUUAGCCGAUGUGGCAAAGGGGCCGACCCGACCAAUCCGAUGCGAGGUGCUAGUUGAGCUGCACCUCUUCGCCUCCAACGACUAGCCCGACCUUGUCUUGGCUUAACUAGACCCUUUUGCAUCCCCACCGACCCAAACCACUUCGCUUGAAUUGUUCAUGGGUGCAGGAUGAUGCAAGAAGCGACGCACCUCAUUGAGGAAUAUCCCCAGCGAUCGAUAGCCAGAGCCAGAGGCAACAAUUGGUAUGACAAUCUCUUCCCCUAAUUGUCACCUUUUUUUGAAGAACACCUAAUUGUCACCUUUAAUUGCCAUGUUUUCCUCGAUUUUUAGGCAGUGGCGAAGCUGCAUCUAAGGUUGUGUGGUCAAUUGACCAUACAGCUUUUUAGCAAAUUCAUCAAGUGCAAUUGUAAACUCAUGGGGAAAACGAUAAAAAUAGGGUAUUUUUUUCACGUGAUAUUGUUUUUGACAUCACAAGAUUAGAGUUCUGGCACCGUCGCUGUUUUUAGGUAUUUUUGACUCCUUAAUUAUACAUUCCAUGUUUCGACUA
Brachypodium distachyon (stiff brome) is the source of this 2550-nucleotide RNA transcript. It is a transcript of the gene named putative GATA transcription factor 22, with no coding region annotated. The record is from RefSeq and is a predicted model, not a curated record. The transcript is spliced from 6 exons. NCBI's taxonomy places the organism in Eukaryota, Viridiplantae, Streptophyta, Magnoliopsida, Poales, Poaceae.